UGGCUUAGGACGAACGCUGGCGGCGUGCCUAAUACAUGCAAGUCGAACGGUCUUUCUAUGGAAGCUUGCUUCCACUGAGAAGAUAGUGGCGGACGGGUGAGUAACACGUGGGUAACCUGCCCAUAAGAGGGGGAUAACAUCCGGAAACGGGUGCUAAUACCGCAUAGUUUUCUUGAUCGCAUGAUUGAGAAAGGAAAGACGGCCUUUGUGCUGUCGCUUAUGGAUGGACCCGCGGCGUAUUAGUUAGUUGGUGAGGUAAUGGCUCACCAAGACGAUGAUACGUAGCCGACCUGAGAGGGUGAUCGGCCACAUUGGGACUGAGACACGGCCCAAACUCCUACGGGAGGCAGCAGUAGGGAAUCUUCCGCAAUGGACGAAAGUCUGACGGAGCAACGCCGCGUGAGUGAAGAAAAGGUUUUCGGAUCGUAAAACUCUGUUGUCAGAGAAGAACAAGUUGGAGAGUAACUGCUCCAGCCUUGACGGUAUCUGACCAGAAAGCCACGGCUAACUACGUGCCAGCCGCCGC
Molecule: ribosomal RNA, 526 nt
Filed under: uncultured bacterium
Lineage: Bacteria
Description: bacterial SSU rRNA
Rfam family: Bacterial small subunit ribosomal RNA
Source: RNAcentral